UUGCACACAAAUGAAGGAAUUUCCCCAAUGAGAUUGUUAUCAUUGAGAAACAGAGCUUGCAGAUUUCUCAUAUUGCCGAAUGAAGCAGGAAUAAGUCCAUUAAGAGAGUUAUUACCCAAAUAUAGAUUAGUAAGAGAACUCAAGUAACCUAUUUCUUCAGGAAUAGAGCCAGAAAGCUGAUUAUUGUAAAGAUACAACAUAAACAAGUUGUUCAGAUUCCCCAAUGAAGCAGGAAUAGAACCACUAAGAAAGUUGUUACCCAAAGAUAGUUUAGUAAGAGACCUUAGGUAACCUAUUUCUUCAGGAAUAGAGCCAGAAAGCUUAUUAUUGUAAAGAUCCAACCUAGACAAGUUGUUUAGAUUCCCCAAUGAAGCAGGAAUAGAGCCAUUAAGAGCAUUCUCACCCAAAUCUAGGUAAGUAAGAGACCUUAGGUAACUUAUUUCUUCAGGAAUAGAGCCAGAAAGCUUAUUAUUGUAAAGAUCCAACCUAGACAAGUUGUUUAGAUUCCCCAAUGAAGCAGGAAUAGAGCCAUUAAGAGCAUUCUCACCCAAAUCUAGGUAAGUAAGAGACCUUAGGUAACCUAUUUCUUCAGGAAUAGAGCCAGAAAGCUUAUUAUUGUAAAGAUCCAACCUAGACAAGUUGUUUAGAUUCCCCAAUGAAGCAGGAAUAGAGCCAUUAAGAGCAUUCUCACCCAAAUCUAGGUAAGUAAGAGACCUUAGGUAACCUAUUUCUUCAGGAAUAGAGCCAGAAAGCUUAUUAUUGUAAAGAUCCAACCUAGACAAGUUGUUUAGAUUCCCCAAUGAAGCAGGAAUAGAGCCAUUAAGAGCAUUCUCACCCAAAUCUAGGUAAGUAAGAGACCUUAGGUAACCUAUUUCUUCAGGAAUAGAGCCAGAAAGCUGAUUAUUGUAAAGAUACAAAAAAGACAAGUUGUUCAGAUUCCCCAAUGAAGCAGGAAUGGAACCACUAAGAAAGUUGAUAUCCAAAGAUAGCUUAGUAAGAGACCUUAGGUAACCUAUUUCUUCAGGAAUAAAGCCAGAAAGCUGAUUUUCAUAAAGAAAUAAAAAAGACAAGUUGGUCAUAUUGCCCAAUGAAGCAGGAAUAGAACCACUAAGAAAGUUGAUACCCAAAGAUAGCUUAGUAAGAGACCUUAGGUAACCUAUUUCUUCAGGAAUAAAGCCAUUUAAAUGAUUGU
RNAcentral lists this long non-coding RNA (1192 nucleotides) under Solanum lycopersicum (tomato). Its description in RNAcentral is "long non-coding RNA (SLYC_LNC000265)". Lineage: Eukaryota; Viridiplantae; Streptophyta; Magnoliopsida; Solanales; Solanaceae. The record is from RNAcentral.